RNAcentral lists this ribosomal RNA (481 nucleotides) under Protoblastenia incrustans. RNAcentral's name for it is "SSU rRNA". It matches the Rfam family "Eukaryotic small subunit ribosomal RNA", at positions 1329 to 1831 of the family's 1831-position model. The record is from RNAcentral. Lineage: Eukaryota; Fungi; Ascomycota; Lecanoromycetes; Lecanorales; Psoraceae.
UAACGAACGAGACCUUAACCUGCUAAAUAGCCCGGUCAGCUUUGGCUGGCCGCCGGCUUCUUAGAGGGACUAUCGGCUCAAGCCGAUGGAAGUUUGAGGCAAUAACAGGUCUGUGAUGCCCUUAGAUGCUCUGGGCCGCACGCGCGCUACACUGACAGAGACAACGAGUUCAUCUCCUUGGCCGGAAGGUCUGGGUAAUCUUGUUAAACUCUGUCGUGCUGGGGAUAGAGCAUUGCAAUUAUUGCUCUUCAACGAGGAAUGCCUAGUAAGCGCAAGUCAUCAGCUUGCGUUGAUUACGUCCCUGCCCUUUGUACACACCGCCCGUCGCUACUACCGAUUGAAUGGCUCAGUGAGGCCCUCGGACUGGCCCAGGAAGGUCGGCAACGACCAUCCAGGGCCGGAAAGUUCGUCAAACUUGGUCAUUUAGAGGAAGUAAAAGUCGUAACAAGGUUUCCGUAGUGAACCUGCGGAAGGAUCAUUA